UAUUGGACAAUGGGCGCAAGCCUGAUCCAGCAAUACCGCGUGUGUGAAGAAGGCCUUAGGGUUGUAAAGCACUUUCAAUUGGGAGGAAAACCUGCCGGUCAAUACCCGGUAGCUUGACAUUACCUUUAGAAGAAGCACCGGCUAACUCCGUGCCAGCAGCCGCGGUAAUACGGAGGGUGCGAGCGUUAAUCGGAAUUACUGGGCGUAAAGCGUGCGUAGGCGGUUCGUUAAGUCAGAUGUGAAAGCCCUGGGCUCAACCUGGGAACUGCAUUUGAAACUGGCGGACUAGAGUUUAGUAGAGGGGAGUGGAAUUUCAGGUGUAGCGGUGAAAUGUGUAGAUAUCUGAAGGAACACCAGUGGCGAAGGCGACUCCCUGGACUAGAACUGGCGCUGAGUACGAAA
This 402-nucleotide ribosomal RNA is filed under the name uncultured bacterium. RNAcentral describes it as "bacterial SSU rRNA". It matches the Rfam family "Bacterial small subunit ribosomal RNA", at positions 362 to 758 of the family's 1533-position model. The record is from RNAcentral.